CAAUUGGGGGGGGCCAAUCCAGUCAGUUGAGCGGAACGACUGGGAGCUUUGCGCCCAGGCGUGAGCGGCGGAGGGGGGGGGCCGGUGGGAAUAUGCCCAUAGGGGGGGAUAACUCGGGGAAAGCAUGGAGCUAAUACCGCAUAAUCCCUACGGGGGAAAGCAGGGGAUCUUCGGACCUUGCGCUGAUGGAUGAGCCCGCGUCGGAUUAGCUUGUUGGUGGGGUAACUGGCCCACCAAGGCGACGAUCCGUAACUGGUCUGAGAGGAUGGCCAGUCACACCGGGACUGAGACACGGCCCGGACUCCUACGGGAGGCAGCAGUGGGGAAUCUUGGACAAUGGGCGCAAGCCUGAUCCAGCCAUGCCGCGUGUGUGAAGAAGGCCUUCGGGUUGUAAAGCACUUUCAGUAGGGAGGAAGGCUUCGGGUUAAUACCCUGGAGUACUUGACGUUACCUACAGAAGAAGCACCGGCUAAUUUCGUGCCAGCAGCCGCGGUAAUACGAAAGGUGCGAGCGUUAAUCGGAAUUACUGGGCGUAAAGCGCGCGUAGGCGGUGUGUUAAGUCGGAUGUGAAAGCCCAGGGCUCAACCUUGGAAUUGCAUCCGAUACUGGCACGCUAGAGUGCAGUAGAGGGAGGUGGAAUUUCCGGUGUAGCGGUGAAAUGCGUAGAGAUCGGAAGGAACACCAGUGGCGAAGGCGGCCUCCUGGACUGACACUGACGCUGAGGUGCGAAAGCGUGGGGAGCAAACAGGAUUAGAUACCCUGGUAGUCCACGCCGUAAACGAUGUCUACUAGCCGUUGGGGGUCCUUAGUGACUUUUGGUGGCGCAGCUAACGCGAUAAGUAGACCCGCCUGGGGGAGUACGGCGCAGGUUAAAACUCAAUGAAUUGACGGGGGACCGCACAGCCGCUGGCAGCAUGUGCUUUAAUUCGAAUUGCAACUCUCGGAAGGAAGCACCUGUAUACCCAGCA
This 968-nucleotide ribosomal RNA is filed under the name Alloalcanivorax dieselolei. Its description in RNAcentral is "bacterial SSU rRNA". It matches the Rfam family "Bacterial small subunit ribosomal RNA", at positions 34 to 991 of the family's 1533-position model. Lineage: Bacteria; Pseudomonadati; Pseudomonadota; Gammaproteobacteria; Oceanospirillales; Alcanivoracaceae. The record is from RNAcentral.